RNAcentral lists this ribosomal RNA (440 nucleotides) under uncultured bacterium. Its description in RNAcentral is "partial 16S ribosomal RNA". It matches the Rfam family "Bacterial small subunit ribosomal RNA", at positions 338 to 795 of the family's 1533-position model. The record is from RNAcentral.
CCUACGGGGGGCAGCAGUGGGGAAUAUUGCACAAUGGGGGAAACCCUGAUGCAGCGACGCCGCGUGAGUGAAGAAGUAAUUCGUUAUGUAAAGCUCUAUCAGCAGGGAAGAAAAUGACGGUACCUGAGUCAGAAGCCCCGGCUAACUACGUGCCAGCAGCCGCGGUAAUACGUAGGGGGCAAGCGUUAUCCGGAUUUACUGGGUGUAAAGGGAGCGUAGACGGCAGUGCAAGUCUGGAGUGAAAGGCGGGGGCUCAACCCCCGUACUGCUCUGGAAACUGUACGGCUGGAGUGCAGGAGAGGUAAGUGGAAUUCCUAGUGUAGCGGUGAAAUGCGUAGAUAUUAGGAGGAACACCAGUGGCGAAGGCGGCUUACUGGACUGUAACUGACGUUGAGGCUCGAAAGCGUGGGGAGCAAACAGGAUUAGAUACCCUGGUAGUC